Molecule: ribosomal RNA, 253 nt
Filed under: uncultured bacterium
Lineage: Bacteria
Description: partial 16S ribosomal RNA
Rfam family: Bacterial small subunit ribosomal RNA
Source: RNAcentral
GACGAACCGUGCGAACGUUGUUCGGAAUCACUGGGCUUAAAGGGCGCGUAGGCGGGGAGCCAAGUCGGUGGUGAAAUCUUUCGGCUUAACCGGAAAAUUGCCUUCGAUACUGGCUGUCUUGAGGGAGGUAGGGGCAGAUGGAACUUCCGGUGGAGCGGUGAAAUGUGUUGAUAUCGGAAGGAACGCCGGUGGCGAAAGCGAUCUGCUGGACCUCUUUUGACGCUGAGGCGCGAAAGCUAGGGGAGCAAACGGG